Molecule: non-coding RNA, 345 nt
Organism: Pelobates cultripes (western spadefoot toad)
Lineage: Eukaryota; Metazoa; Chordata; Amphibia; Anura; Pelobatidae
Source: the annotation of a GenBank genome assembly
GGGAGAGACACUCUGCGUGUUACUGACAGGGAGAGACACUCUGCGUGUUACUGACAGGGAGAGACACUCUGCGUGUUACUGACAGGGAGAGACACUCUGUGUGUUACUGACAGGGAGAGACACUCUGCGCGUUACUGACAGGGAGAGACACUCUGCGUGUUACUGACAGGGAGAGACACUCUGUGUGUUACUGACAGGGAGAGACACUCUGCGCGUUACUGACAGGGAGAGACACUCUGUGUGUUACUGACAGGGAGAGACACUCUGCGCGUUACUGACAGGGAGAGACACUCUGCGUGUUACUGACAGGGAGAGACACUCUGCGUGUUACUGACAGGGAGAGAC